UCCUCCCACAAAAAGUUAUGUCUUUUGUUCCCUGUUAUUGGACAUGUAAGAAUUGGAGGCAAAGACAUGUGAAUUUGGAGAAAUCUAAGGCCAGCUUGCUUUCCAAGCUCAAGAUCAACCAUACUACAUAG
Molecule: small nucleolar RNA, 131 nt
Organism: Dipodomys ordii (Ord's kangaroo rat)
Lineage: Eukaryota; Metazoa; Chordata; Mammalia; Rodentia; Heteromyidae
Source: Ensembl